GUUUAUCUUCAGGGGCAGGGUGAAAAUCCCGACCGGCGGUAAAAGUCCGCGACCUGCAUUUAUGCAGUUGAUUUGGUGUAAUUCCAAAACCGACAGUAAAGUCUGGAUAAAGAAGAUAGGG
This 121-nucleotide non-coding RNA is filed under the name Liquorilactobacillus cacaonum. RNAcentral's name for it is "Lactobacillus cacaonum FMN sequence". It matches the Rfam family "FMN riboswitch aptamer (RFN element)". From Rfam's summary of the family: The RFN element is a highly conserved domain that is found frequently in the 5'-untranslated regions of prokaryotic mRNAs that encode for flavin mononucleotide (FMN) biosynthesis and transport proteins. This element is a metabolite-dependent riboswitch that directly binds FMN in the absence of proteins. Lineage: Bacteria; Bacillati; Bacillota; Bacilli; Lactobacillales; Lactobacillaceae. The record is from RNAcentral. RNAcentral also lists the same sequence under 1 other name.